This is a long non-coding RNA of Mauremys mutica (yellowpond turtle), 335 nucleotides long. RefSeq lists it as uncharacterized. Lineage: Eukaryota; Metazoa; Chordata; Testudines; Geoemydidae. The transcript has 3 exons. The record is from RefSeq and is a predicted model, not a curated record.
CAGGUGGAGUACAGGAGUCGAUGGGAGAGCGAUCUGUGGUUGAUUUAGCGAGUCUAGUGAAGACCCACUAAAUCGACCGCUGAUGCAUCGAGCACCGCAUGCCAAUCACCCGGCAUAUUAGCUGUCUCUUUGAAUCAGCCUGGCAUGGAAUAAACACAUACACCGGACGGCGUGCAUUGGAGAGCUUCAGAUUGAGUCCCGUAUCUGUACAGAAAACCACACAGUGCCAAAAUACACAACCCAGAGUGGAUGUCUUUGAAUUUUAUCGGCUUGACUGUUCUCAGGAUGUUUCAAGUGUUGUAGCUGGGUUGGCCCCAGGAUAUCAGAGAUAAAAG